CAGUCUAGUAUAAGCACUUUAUACUGUGAAACUGCGAAUGGCUCAUUAAAUCAGUUAUCGUUUAUUUGAUAGUACCUUACUACAUGGAUACCUGUGGUAAUUCUAGAGCUAAUACAUGCUAAAAACCUCGACUUCGGAAGGGGUGUAUUUAUUAGAUAAAAAACCAAUGCCCUUCGGGGCUCCUUGGUGAUUCAUAAUAACUUAACGAAUCGCAUGGCCUUGCGCCGGCGAUGGUUCAUUCAAAUUUCUGCCCUAUCAACUUUCGAUGGUAGGAUAGUGGCCUACCAUGGUGGCAACGGGUAACGGGGAAUGGGGCGGGGGCGG
RNAcentral lists this ribosomal RNA (324 nucleotides) under Aspergillus flavus. Its description in RNAcentral is "SSU rRNA". It matches the Rfam family "Eukaryotic small subunit ribosomal RNA", at positions 57 to 375 of the family's 1831-position model. Lineage: Eukaryota; Fungi; Ascomycota; Eurotiomycetes; Eurotiales; Aspergillaceae. The record is from RNAcentral.